AGAGUUUGAUCCUGGCUCAGAGCGAACGCUGGCGGCAGGCCUAAAACAUGCAAGUCGAACGCCGUAGCAAUACGGAGUGGCAGACGGGUGAGUAACACGUGGGAACGUGCCUUUUGGUUCGGAACAACACAGGGAAACUUGUGCUAAUACCGGAUAAGCCCUUACGGGGAAAGAUUUAUCGCCAAAAGAUCGGCCCGCGUCUGAUUAGCUAGUUGGUGGGGUAACGGCCCACCAAGGCUACGAUCAGUAGCUGGUCUGAGAGGAUGAUCAGCCACACUGGGACUGAGACACGGCCCAGACUCCUACGGGAGGCAGCAGUUAGGAAUCUUGGACAAUGGGCGCAAGCCUGAUCCAGCCAUGCCGCGUGAGUGAUGAAGGCCUUAGGGUUGUAAAGCUCUUUCAGCGGGGAAGAUAAUGACGGUACCCGCAGAAGAAGCCCCGGCUAACUUCGUGCCAGCAGCCGCGGUAAUACGAAGGGGGCUAGCGUUGCUCGGAAUCACUGGGCGUAAAGCGCACGUAGGCGGCUUUCUAAGUCAGGGGUGAAAUCCUGGAGCUCAACUCCAGAACUGCCUUUGAUACUGGGAAGCUCGAGUCCGGAAGAGGUGAGUGGAACUCCGAGUGUAGAGGUGAAAUUCGUAGAUAUUCGGAAGAACACCAGUGGCGAAGGCGGCUCACUGGUCCGGUACUGACGCUGAGGUGCGAAAGCGUGGGGGAGCAAACAGGAUUAGAUACCCUGGUAG
RNAcentral lists this ribosomal RNA (740 nucleotides) under uncultured bacterium. Its description in RNAcentral is "bacterial SSU rRNA". It matches the Rfam family "Bacterial small subunit ribosomal RNA", at positions 8 to 793 of the family's 1533-position model. The record is from RNAcentral.